Molecule: long non-coding RNA, 1666 nt
Organism: Molossus molossus (Pallas's mastiff bat)
Lineage: Eukaryota; Metazoa; Chordata; Mammalia; Chiroptera; Molossidae
Exons: 3
Source: RefSeq, a predicted model, not a curated record
GCUGCGCUUCCUCUGCCUCGCCCCCUCCCCUGCGGAGCGACCCGAAAGGACCUGCGCCUCCUCUCUAGCCUCCGCUCGUUUUUAAGUCCCUAUUUGCAACUUCUGCCUCAUGAACCAUUCCCUGCAGCAGAAUGAGAUGACGAAGAAUAAAGUGUGUAUUAGAAGAUCGCGAGCCCUAGUCCUGGUUUUAUCACUAGCUCUGCAGAGCUGGGCAAGUGCUCGGAGUAGCCUUUCUGAGCCUCACCGUCCUGGACAGUGAAAUGGAGAGCAAGCCGGUCUCAGAGCUGAGACUGAGGCUCUGAGCACUGUGAGCUGUGCUGUUGUGUAAAGUUUUGCCUCGGGCUUGUAGUUCACUAGUUCAGAGACCAGCACAGAACAUGUAUGUGGAUGAAGAAUAUUUCUCAACAAGCACUAAUUGACAAGCAAAACAUGAAAAAGAUUAAUGCUGUUAGGAUGUAGUCUGUUCCCAGUAUCCACGAGUUUUCUCCAAGGAAGGCUGGCAGUGAUGCACAGCCUGCUCUGGGGUAGGAACCGGUCACAGGGCCUGGGGAGACUUCGGAGCUGUUGUGAAGUCCCCGGGCCCAGAUAGCAGCGUGAGGGGAGGAACAGUGCUGCGACCAGGAGGGGAGAGGCCCGCAGCAACUCAUCCGGGAACCCCCAGAGUGGACAAAACCCUGUGAUGCCUGAGACUCCACUCUUCACCCUGGGUUAAGGCGGCUCUUCAGCAGUGUUUUGCAGUUCAUGAAAUGAACAGAAGGAGGCGCCAUUUCUGUACUCUUCCUGCUCAGUAAUGAGGCACCUAGUGAUAGGAUUUACCACUUAUAUUUCAUUUUACAGUUUUGAGAGUGUUUCUGAUUUGAUCCUUACAGCAACUAGGUAACAGGACCUGACUGGAGACAGGUCCUAUUCUCUCCAUUUUACAGACAGAAAACUGAGAGGCAGCCAGUUGAAGUGACUCAGUGUCAGACAAUUAAGCUGCAGAGCUAGCUCUUUGACACCUGAGUCAGUGUCCUUCUAGAAUAAAGCAGAGUUAUCAGGGAGAACUGAGAAAUGGACAGACCCCAAGAACUCUGACAACAGGAGCAAAGACCCACUCUAGGAGCCGUUCCACACGGAGUGGCCUGGGGACCCUGCUGCUCUUAGGACACUCAGAAGUCAAGCGGAACCUGCUCCCAGGUUUCCAACAUAUCAUUACAUUUAGCUUUGUUGGGUCAUUCCGUGGUCGGAGCCAUGAGUUGAGUUUGGUCAAGGGGAAGGAAGGGUAUAAGCAGAAAUGGGUUGGGCACCUGCCACUUUUCCAGCCCAUGCCUCUCUUCUCAGGGACAUAAAGACACCCGAAGUAACCCUCAGUGGCUACAAGUUGGGAACCCUUUAAAAUGAUUGCUGUUGACAAAGGCUAGAAGGCCUGGUAUGAUGUCAGAGAUCCAGAUGCCUAGGCAGCCUCUGCUUGCAAGAAGCCUAGGGUAGAGACACAAGAGCCUCUGAAUCAGCAUAAAAAUUUGGCCAGAGAAUGUUUUUCCAUAUCAAUGUAUUACUUAGCAAUGGUUGCAAUAGUGCUCUGUAAUAAAAACACUCACAUCUCAGUGACACACAACCAAAAGCAUUUGUUUUCUUGUUCACAAGUCUGUGGGUUGGCUGGGCCCCCUCUGGAUUGAGGCUGGGGGUC